UUCGGGGUACUCGAGCGGCGAACGGGUGAGUAACACGUGAGUAACCUGCCCCAGGCUUUGGGAUAACCCUCGGAAACGGGGGCUAAUACCGGAUAUGACUUCUGACCGCAUGGUUGGGGGUGGAAAGUUUUUCGGCUUGGGAUGGGCUCGCGGCCUAUCAGCUUGUUGGUGGGGUGAUGGCCUACCAAGGCGACGACGGGUAGCCGGCCUGAGAGGGCGACCGGCCACACUGGGACUGAGACACGGCCCAGACUCCUACGGGAGGCAGCAGUGGGGAAUAUUGCACAAUGGGCGAAAGCCUGAUGCAGCGACGCCGCGUGAGGGAUGACGGCCUUCGGGUUGUAAACCUCUUUCAGCAGGGACGAAGCGCAAGUGACGGUACCUGCAGAAGAAGCGCCGGCCAACUACGUGCCAGCAGCCGCGGUAAGACGUAGGGCGCGAGCGUUGUCCGGAUUUAUUGGGCGUAAAGAGCUCGUAGGCGGCUUGUCGCGUCGACUGUGAAAACCCGCAGCUCAACUGCGGGCUUGCAGCCGAUACGGGCAGGCUAGAGUUCGGUAGGGGAGACUGGAAUUCCUGGUG
RNAcentral lists this ribosomal RNA (579 nucleotides) under Polymorphospora sp. YIM 61480. Its description in RNAcentral is "bacterial SSU rRNA". It matches the Rfam family "Bacterial small subunit ribosomal RNA", at positions 81 to 675 of the family's 1533-position model. Lineage: Bacteria; Bacillati; Actinomycetota; Actinomycetes; Micromonosporales; Micromonosporaceae. The record is from RNAcentral.